GACGAACGCUGGCGGCGUGCUUAACACAUGCAAGUCGAACGAAGUGGCGAACGGGUGAGUAACGCGUAAUCAACCUGCCCUUCAGAGGGGAACAACAGUUGGAAACGCCUGCUAAUACCGCAUAAUGAAGGAGGGGAUUGCGUCUUCUUAGCUAGUUGGAGGGGUAACGGCCCACCAAGGCGAUGAUCAGUAGCCGGGCUGAGAGGAGGAACGGCAACAUUGGGACUGAGACACGUCCCAGACUCCUACGGGAGGCAGCAGGGGGGAAUCUUCCGCAAGGGACGAAAGUCUGACGGAGCAACGCCGCGUGAGUGAUGACGGCCUUCGGGUUGUAAAGCUCUGUUAAUCGGGACGCGGUACCGGAAUAGAAAGCCACGGCUAACUACGUGCCAGCAGCCGCGGUAAUAC
This 408-nucleotide ribosomal RNA is filed under the name uncultured bacterium. RNAcentral describes it as "partial 16S ribosomal RNA". It matches the Rfam family "Bacterial small subunit ribosomal RNA", at positions 28 to 526 of the family's 1533-position model. The record is from RNAcentral.